CCAGCACUUGUUGUUGACUCCAGUGUUCGAAAUUUAGACUUUUUUUUGUGGUGUAAUGAUAAUUUGAGAGGCACUGUCAAAGGGAAGCAUGUGAAGAGCCCUUUAACUGAUUAUUAACUAAGAUUGUAAGCUGUGAAAAGCACAAAUUUGAAAACAAUGAAUAAAUAAUGGAGAAAUGUGCUUAAAUUAUGGAUUAUAAGUGUAUCAGUGAGUGAACACACCACCACCCACGCACCCACCACCAUGUAGUGGGAGCCCAGGGUUCGGUUGGUCAAGCAGUCUGCCCUUGUGGUCUGUGGGGAGAAGACUUGCGUGUCGUGCUGCUCUCAUCCUGCCGGUACCUUUGCUAUUAAGUCAUUGUGUGGUGACUGUGACCUGCCCUGACCUGCCUGUGACCUGCCCUGACCUGCCCUGACCUGCUAUUAACCUGUGACCUGCCUUGACUUGCUCUGACACACAUGGUGAACCGAGACCUUCCGAGACCUUCCAAGACCUUCCAAAAUCUGCCGUGACCCACAGAUGAAGAUGUAUAGGUGAUAAACGGAGGCCGAUUUAAGAAGUGCGAUGAUGCGACACACAGACAGACAGACAGACAGACAGACAGGUGUGGGAUGAGUGCUGGCAUACUGAAGGUCAAGAGGUCAAGAGUGACGUGUUGAGUCGUAUGGGUCACCAGACAGGUCACCCACCUAACCCCACUCAGCCUGUCAGUUCAGCAGCAACACUCAUGGAAGAUUUGCCGCAAGCUGUGCCUCUCUGUGCUUGUUAUCCGAACCUUGUGUCUAAUAUUGCCUUAAUGUUGUGUGUGUGUGUGUGUGUGUGUGUGUGUGAGAGAGAGAGAGUGUGUGUGAGAGAGAGAGAGAGAGAGAGAGAGAGAGAGAGAGAGAGAGAGAGAGAGAGAGAGAGAGAGAGAGAGAGAGAGAGAGAGAGAGAGAGAGAGAGAGAGAGAGAGAGAGAGAGAGAGAGAGA
Molecule: long non-coding RNA, 969 nt
Organism: Scylla paramamosain (green mud crab)
Lineage: Eukaryota; Metazoa; Arthropoda; Malacostraca; Decapoda; Portunidae
Exons: 4
Source: RefSeq, a predicted model, not a curated record